CGAUCCUCCAGCCUCAGCCUCCCGCUGGGACUACAGAACUGUGGGUUCCUUGGGAGAAGACGCCAGAGUUGGUUCUGUUGGUGCCUUCGUAACAUCUGUCACGUGGAGGGGGACAAUAUACACUUCAGGAGAUGCUCCUGACCACGUACCAGUCUACAAUGGGGAGGAUUCUCCGUCUCCCUGCCGCUGAGCUGCGGUUCACUAUGGAACUCUGACCACCCUGCACCUGUCCCAGAAACCAUCCCCGCCAAUGUGGCCUUCCCUCUUAGCAAAAUCCAGAAACCCGGAGGCACCUCCAGUCUUGCAGAGAGAUCACCAGACACGCCGGUGUUUGAGUUAAAGCUACCGAUGGCAUAAAAUUCCAAGAAGGUGGAUGUGAUGCCAGGAGCUGGGGAAGCCACUUUGUAACCAUGAAGGAAGAGACCCUCCAGCCCUGACACUAGUGAGCUCUUGAAACAACACCAGCACCCUAUACCUCCGGAUCUCACAUUAAUGUCAGUCUUCUCCAGUUUUUCUCUUAUUUGCAACUAGAAUUUUUCUAAUGGCUGCAUAGUGUUUCUCUUUACGCUUCCUAUCUUUUGGUUUUCUAUGGAAUCCAAAUUUGAAUAAUGGGGAUGUGUUGGCAGUUAAAUAAA
Marmota flaviventris (yellow-bellied marmot) is the source of this 635-nucleotide non-coding RNA. NCBI's taxonomy places the organism in Eukaryota, Metazoa, Chordata, Mammalia, Rodentia, Sciuridae. The record is from RefSeq and is a predicted model, not a curated record.